UCAUCACAACUGUAUUGUCACUGACGUUGCAUUUCAGAUAAAUUUGAUGAUAAUAUCACAUUUUUUUAAAGGAGGAAAAAAAUCAAUAAUUUUGUCUACAGACUUUGCAUUAUAUUCCAGUUACUUGAAAGAAAAUGUCAUGUGCAUCAACUCAUUCUUCAGGAUGUACUUUCUGAAAAGAUGUGGAUAAUAUUACAUAGACUAAGGGGAACACAGCUACGUUUGAGCUGCUUUAAGGCAAUGGUCCAUGUGCAUGCCCUACCAUGUGGAACUCUGUUGAGAAUCAGAGUUU
This 292-nucleotide long non-coding RNA is filed under the name Gallus gallus (chicken). Its description in RNAcentral is "long non-coding RNA NONGGAT001158". Lineage: Eukaryota; Metazoa; Chordata; Aves; Galliformes; Phasianidae. The record is from RNAcentral.